GGAGAGGUGUCCGAGCGGCCGAAGGUGAUUGACUCGAAAUCAAUUGUCCCGAAAGGGACCGGGAGUUCGAAUCUCCCCCUCUCCGCCA
Molecule: transfer RNA, 88 nt
Filed under: Desulfuromonas acetoxidans
Lineage: Bacteria; Pseudomonadati; Thermodesulfobacteriota; Desulfuromonadia; Desulfuromonadales; Desulfuromonadaceae
Also listed under: 1 other name
Description: tRNA-Ser
Rfam family: tRNA
About the family: Transfer RNA (tRNA) molecules are approximately 80 nucleotides in length. Their secondary structure includes four short double-helical elements and three loops (D, anti-codon, and T loops). Further hydrogen bonds mediate the characteristic L-shaped molecular structure. tRNAs have two regions of fundamental functional importance: the anti-codon, which is responsible for specific mRNA codon recognition, and the 3' end, to which the tRNAs corresponding amino acid is attached (by aminoacyl-tRNA synthetases). tRNAs cope with the degeneracy of the genetic code in two manners: having more than one tRNA (with a specific anti-codon) for a particular amino acid; and 'wobble' base-pairing, i.e. permitting non-standard base-pairing at the 3rd anti-codon position.
Source: RNAcentral